GUGUGUUUGUGCAGGAUAAAUGGCAGAGGGAGUGGGAGUGGAGGAUAAAUGGCAGAGGGAGUGCAGGAUAAAUGGUAGAGGGAGUGGGAGUGCAAGAUAAAUGGUACAGGGAGUAGGAGUGCAGGAUAAAUGGUAGAGGGAGUGCAGGAUAAAUGGCAGAGGGAGUGGGAGUGGAGGAUAAAUGGCAGAGGGAGUGCAGGAUAAAUGGUAGAGGGAGUGGGAGUGCAAGAUAAAUGGUACAGGGAGUAGGAGUGCAGGAUAAAUGGUAGAGGGAGUGCAGGAUAAAUGGCAGAGGGAGUGGGAGUGGAGGAUAAAUGGCAGAGGGAGUGCAGGAUAAAUGGUAGAGGGAGUGGGAGUGCAAGAUAAAUGGUACAGGGAGUAGGAGUGCAGGAUAAAUGGU
Molecule: non-coding RNA, 400 nt
Organism: Pelobates cultripes (western spadefoot toad)
Lineage: Eukaryota; Metazoa; Chordata; Amphibia; Anura; Pelobatidae
Source: the annotation of a GenBank genome assembly